Molecule: ribosomal RNA, 366 nt
Filed under: uncultured organism
Description: bacterial SSU rRNA
Rfam family: Bacterial small subunit ribosomal RNA
Source: RNAcentral
CGGAGGAUCCAAGCGUUAUCCGGAAUCAUUGGGUUUAAAGGGUCCGUAGGCGGGUUUAUAAGUCAGUGGUGAAAGCCCAUCGCUCAACGAUGGAGCGGCCAUUGAUACUGUAGAUCUUGAAUUAUUAGGAAGUAACUAGAAUAUGUAGUGUAGCGGUGAAAUGCUUAGAGAUUACAUGGAAUACCAAUUGCGAAGGCAGGUUACUACUAAUGGAUUGACGCUGAUGGACGAAAGCGUGGGUAGCGAACAGGAUUAGAUACCCUGGUAGUCCACGCCGUAAACGAUGGAUACUAGCUGUUCGGAGCAAUCUGAGUGGCUAAGCGAAAGUGAUAAGUAUCCCACCUGGGGAGUACGUUCGCAAGAAUG